Molecule: unclassified non-coding RNA, 353 nt
Filed under: Hevea brasiliensis (rubber tree)
Lineage: Eukaryota; Viridiplantae; Streptophyta; Magnoliopsida; Malpighiales; Euphorbiaceae
Source: RNAcentral
AUUUUUUUUUUUUUUUUUUGUAGAGGGAGACAUUCAAUUUUGGUUCAAAACUGGACUGGUCAGUUCUAGUCCAGUUCAAGUCUGGUUUCAAUCCAUACGGAUCUGACCAGUUUCAGUUCUGGGUUGGCAUUUCAGUUCCUGAGCCGGAACUGUGGCAAGGUGUACUCUACCUUGUAGAUACCUUCGAGGCAAUGUAAUAAGAAUAGUGAAAAUGCUGUAGGCUUAAUUGGAGUGCGUAUCUUGUAUUCCAUAAUUUACUUGCUAUUGAAUAAGAGGAAAUUCUUCGUGGCUCUUUGAUAGGUUUCCAUGUAUUUGUGGCUAAUGUCAAGCAUCUUGUUUUUUUUUUUUUUCUU